RNAcentral lists this ribosomal RNA (441 nucleotides) under uncultured bacterium. RNAcentral describes it as "bacterial SSU rRNA". It matches the Rfam family "Bacterial small subunit ribosomal RNA", at positions 954 to 1392 of the family's 1533-position model. The record is from RNAcentral.
GCAUAACGCGAAGAACCUUACCAGGUCUUGACAUCCCUCUGAAUCCUCUAGAGAUAGAGGCGGCCUUCGGGACAGAGGAGACAGGUGGUGCAUGGUUGUCGUCAGCUCGUGUCGUGAGAUGUUGGGUUAAGUCCCGCAACGAGCGCAACCCUUGAUUUUAGUUGCCAGCACAUUAAGGUGGGCACUCUAGAAUGACUGCCGGUGACAAACCGGAGGAAGGCGGGGAUGACGUCAAAUCAUCAUCGCCCCUUAUGACCUGGGCUACACACGUACUACAAUGGCCAGUACAACGGGAAGCGAAGUCGCGAGACGGAGCCAAUCCUAUCAAAGCUGGUCUCAGUUCGGAUUGCAGGCUGCAACCCGCCUGCAUGAAGUCGGAAUUGCUAGUAAUCGCGGAUCAGCAUGCCGCGGUGAAUACGUUCCCGGGUCUUGUACACACCG